GCGAAAUGACUGUUCUUAAAUUACUGCGCCUCACAAGGACCCAACACAAGCUGGGGUUUAAUGUAAAAAAUCAUUAGGCGCAGAUUACUAAAGUGCUCCUGCAUUAAGGAGGUCAAACCGAGCCUGUUUAUGGUAUUUUUCAGGACAGAAACUCUUUGCUAAUAUCUUGAUCAUGACUGUGUUCUGGGGGGGCCCGUCUUAGCACCCACAGCUCAGCACUGUGGCUUCCAAGGAGAUGCUGUGAAGCGGGGGCUGGGAGGCGAGACCACUAAAACACGGGCUGGACAUGGGUCAGGAGAGUCUCCACAAUCGCAAACCAUUUUCAAGAAAGUUGGGUGCAUCAAAUAAUGUAAGCUCUGAGCUAUGAAACUAUGCUAAUUUCAAGAUCUU
Molecule: long non-coding RNA, 390 nt
Filed under: Bos taurus (domestic cattle)
Lineage: Eukaryota; Metazoa; Chordata; Mammalia; Artiodactyla; Bovidae
Description: long non-coding RNA NONBTAT009318
Source: RNAcentral